UAAUUAAUCCUGGAUUAGCAUAUUGGGGCUAGGACACACACAAUGGCCUAUUUCAUCACAGGGUGUUCACAGUGGGAUCACAGUGCUUUGUCUGUGUGGGAUCAUUAAAAGGAUCCAGGGAGGUAACAGGGCAUAAUUGAGUGAGAUUGGACUGCUCUAGAUUCAACCAGCUUUUUGGUCUUUUUAUUGAAAAGGAGAGAGGACAACAGUAUAAAAUGGAAAGUGACACAGAAGAUUGGAGAGACAGAGUGGUGCUGACAUUUCCCAAAGGUCAUGAAGGGGAUUCAAACCCAUGAAGCUGUGGCCAAUCAGAAAGCAGCUUUCAGAGGAUGGAGCCCACAGCUGGAGUGGUACUCCAGGACCCCGUGACAUCACAGUUGGCAUCACACCCAUCAUACCACUCGGGGGCAGAAAAACUCCAUGACAAGCUGACAAUCUCACAGCUCUGACAUAUUAUCACCUUAUAAAGUUGUUAUGGCGUGUUGGAAAAUUAUGAGUUAUUUGGACUAGUGUUUUUGGCUGCCUGACAAAUAUAAGCCUGAUAUUCACUCUCCUUUUAGCUCUGUUUUGGUUUCCACCAACCCCUGAGAAAAAUGUCUGGCUAUUUAGCUGCUAGAUGCUAGACUUUCCUCACCAGCUAGUUGCUAACUUUGUGUGUCUGAUGUUUGGUAGUACCUCACAGGUUUCUGUAUAUCUGUUUAAUAUUUGAUUUUUUUGUGUAUAUUACAGCUGCAAAGUUGAUUGUAAAAUGGAUGUUCACACUUCACACAUGGAGUGUGUGAAGCCCUUUGAGUGGUCGUAAGACUAGAAAGGCGCUAUACAAGUACAGUCCAUUUACCAUUACCAUUUAUCAUUUACAGCUUUAAUUUCCAGAAUUAUUAGAAUUAAUCAUGAUAGUGGUAUUAGAAAUAUUGGCAUUUCUCAUUCAUUGUCUGUGGUAGCUGAUAAUAAUCAAUAUUCAGUACAAGAUUUCAGGACUGCAGUUUUUAAUGCCUAAAAUUGUAUGACUAAUACCAAUGUGUACUUGUCUGGAACCUCUCAGUUCAUUUUUGAUUUUCAAGGGACGCAGACUAAAAUGCCUUGGGACCAUGGAUGUAUUAUAAGAACUGGAUACCGGACCCCAAAAUGGCACCUAUCCAUUCCAAUGAGAAUUACUCGCCUGGCGCAUACGCCAAAAAGGUUUUCUAGCUUCUGGGUUUACUUCUGGGGUGUGCAGCCUACUGAAUGUUUCUCCCGCUGGCCCCGCCCGUGAGUUCCCACACGGCCCAUAGACUUUACAUUGUGAUGACGUCACAGAUUUUCAAAUCACUUUUAUUAGCUCAAGGAAAGUUUUACAAAUAUAAAACCUUCAUGGAUCAAAAAUUCAUAAUAGAAAGAGUCAUAACUUGUUUGCAGUUUGAGGUGUGCUAUGUAGUUGGCCGCAUCUAGCUAAAAAAUAAAGUGCAUAUUUAAAUGUUUAUUCAGGUCAGGGGUUUUUUUUAAAUGUAAACUGACCUAUGAAUACAGAAGUACCUGAAUACCUGAAGCAGGAGGUCUGCACUUGCUUUUUGUCGAUGUCUCCUAAUACGUCUAAAACCACACUUGAGAUUCAGUUUGGAGACUGAAGACCACGAAUCCGCUCACGCCUGCAUC
Long non-coding RNA from Siniperca chuatsi (mandarin fish), 1632 nucleotides. RefSeq lists it as uncharacterized. The record is from RefSeq and is a predicted model, not a curated record. NCBI's taxonomy places the organism in Eukaryota, Metazoa, Chordata, Actinopteri, Centrarchiformes, Sinipercidae. The transcript is spliced from 3 exons.